This 875-nucleotide ribosomal RNA is filed under the name uncultured Alphaproteobacteria bacterium. RNAcentral describes it as "bacterial SSU rRNA". It matches the Rfam family "Bacterial small subunit ribosomal RNA", at positions 8 to 931 of the family's 1533-position model. Lineage: Bacteria; Pseudomonadati; Pseudomonadota; Alphaproteobacteria. The record is from RNAcentral.
AGAGUUUGAUCAUGGCUCAGAACGUACGCUGGCGGCACGCCUAACACAUGCAAGUCGAACGAAGUAGCAAUACUUAGUGGCAGACGGGUGAGUAACAUGUAGGUAUCUGCCCUUUGGCCUGGAAUAACACGAGGAAACUUGUGCUAAUACCGGAUAAGUCUUUACGGAGAAAGCUUUAUGCACCAUUGGAUGAGCCUGCACUUGAUUAGUUUGUUGGUGGGGUAAUGGCCUACCAAGACUGUGAUCAAUAGCUGAUUUGAGAGGAUGAUCAGCCACAUUGGGACUGAGACACGGCCCAAACUCCUACGGGAGGCAGCAGUGGGGAAUCUUGCACAAUGGAGGAAACUCUGAUGCAGCGAUGCCGCGUGAGUGAAGAAGGCCUUUGGGUUGUAAAGCUCUUUCGUCGGGGAAGAAAAUGACUGUACCCGAAUAAGAAGGUCCGGCUAACUUCGUGCCAGCAGCCGCGGUAAUACGAAGGGACCUAGCGUAGUUCGGAAUUACUGGGCUUAAAGAGUUCGUAGGUGGUUGAAAAAGUUGGUGGUGAAAUCCCAGAGCUUAACUCUGGAACUGCCAUCAAAACUUUUCAGCUAGAGUAUGAUAGAGGAAAGCAGAAUUUCUAGUGUAGAGGUGAAAUUCGUAGAUAUUAGAAAGAAUACCAAUUGCGAAGGCAGCUUUCUGGAUCAUUACUGACACUGAGGAACGAAAGCAUGGGUAGCGAAGAGGAUUAGAUACCCUCGUAGUCCAUGCCGUAAACGAUGUGUGUUAGACGUUGGAAAUUUAUUUUCAGUGUCGCAGCGAAAGCGAUAAACACACCGCCUGGGGAGUACGACCGCAAGGUUAAAACUCAAAUGAAUUGACGGGGACCCGCACAAGUA